CUAAGACCCAUGGAACACAACCACAGCCCACAGCAUGUUGCCACAGUAUGUAAGCCCUGCCACACAACAUGGCUUUUUACCUAACUUGUUUUAACAAAGGGAAGAGUGAAGAAAACGCGUGACAUCCCCUCUGGCAAAGUUUACCUUCGCACCACUAUCCUCAUAAUAUAGACAGCAAAGACUACAGGUCACUGCUAGAAGAGACUGAGAAACAAGGCCACCUUAGAUGUACCUCCCCAGCCUAAUGGCAGCCCCACCCAUCCAGUUACCGAGACCCUCCUUGACUCCUUGAAUCAACCGCUCUCCACAAAGAAUCCAUCCGAAUAGGUGUCAGUGCUCCCUUUAAGCUUCCCAUCACCCGCCGCCAGCUGCAGGGUGAUCAUCACCUCUUCCCGAUCCUCAUCUGCCUCAUCCAACCAGACUCCUGUUCUUCUUAGCACUGCUUUUGUGAUGCUCCUCAAAGCUGUCUCCUGGCUGCAUCUCUGACUUGGUGCUCAUCCUCCUGACGGUCUGCCAGAAGCAUCACGAUGCCUCCCGAGGGGCCCGCCACCUGCAGCUGCUUCCCACUUCAACCCACCCAGUCACAGCAGCCAGAACUUUCUGCCAAAAACCCAGGGCAUCUCCGCUAUUCAAAAGCUUCCGAUGGGCUUGCCCAUGACAUACAUAGUAAAAUCUGACAAUCCAC
This is a long non-coding RNA of Hyaena hyaena (striped hyena), 685 nucleotides long. RefSeq lists it as uncharacterized. The transcript is spliced from 5 exons. NCBI's taxonomy places the organism in Eukaryota, Metazoa, Chordata, Mammalia, Carnivora, Hyaenidae. The record is from RefSeq and is a predicted model, not a curated record.